Molecule: long non-coding RNA, 1580 nt
Organism: Macaca fascicularis (crab-eating macaque)
Lineage: Eukaryota; Metazoa; Chordata; Mammalia; Primates; Cercopithecidae
Source: Ensembl
UUUUUUUAUUUUUUAUUUUUUUUGAGACAGGGUCUCACUCUGUCACUCAAGGCUCAGGCUGGAGUACAGAGGCAUGAUCUCGGCUCACUGCAACCUCCACGUGCUGUGCUCAAGCUACCCUCUCCCUCAGCCUCCUCAGUGGCUGGGAUCACAGGCGAGUCACCAACCCAGCUAAGUUUUGUAUUUUUUGUAGAGAUGGGGUUUCGCCCAGACUGUUCUCAAACAUCUGGCCUCAAGUGAUCCCCCCACCUUGGACACCCAAAGUGGUGGGAUUACAGGCAUGAGCUACGGCUCCCGGCCCCAGUAGAACUUUCUACUGUGAUGGGACUGUUCCAAAUCAGAACCAUUUAAUAUGGUAGACACUAUUUCCAUGUAGACACUGAAAACCUGAAAUGUGACAUGUGCAACUGAGCAAGUCAAUUUUUUAUUUUAUUUCAGUUAUUUCUUAUUCUUCUUUUUUUUUUUUUUUUUUUUUUUUUGAGACAGACUCUCGCUCUGUUGCCCAAACUGGAGAGCAGUGGUGCGAUCUCAGCUCACUGCAACCUCCGCCUCCCAAGUUCAACUGAUUCUCCUGCCGCAGCCUCCAGAGUAGCUAGGAUUACAGACAUGUGCCCCCAUGCCUAAUUUUUGUAUUUUUAGUAGAGGCAGGGUUUUGCCAUGUUGGCCAGGCUGGUCUCCUGACUUCAGGUGAUCCACCUGCCUCGGCCUCCCAAAGUGCUUGGAUUACAGGCAUGAGCCUCACAUCUGGCCUAUUUCAGUUAAUUUCAAUUUAAAUGGCCACAUUCGCCAGUGUUUGUAAUAGUGAGCAGCACAGCUGUGUCCUCACUUCUCUAAGGCAAGCCACGACCCCUCACAAGUUACUGUGUAGCCUGUUAAUACUGUUUCAGUGUGGCAAACCGAAGCCCUGGUUUCAGAAAGAAAAGUACUUUGAGGAACAACAAUCAAAGACACACAGAGUAGAUUUGAUGCACUUUCACUGCCUUGCUUCAGGAACAUGCUCUGAGCUAUGACAAGGCAGAGAAGGGGCUUGUGGGCCUACAUGACAAAAUAAAACAGGAGGGGAACUGAGUCCCUAAGGGAAUUAACCCUGUAUCUGGAAAACAUGAGUGGCAGGCAGUGAGACUUACAGAUAUAUGAUGUGCUAAAAUUACUGAAUGAAGCAAUUUUUCAAUAAAAGAUUCUAGAGACAGGCACGCCCCUCCCACAGUUUUACCUCUUCAUUAAGUUAAGUAUUAAAUUAAUUCCCUAGAAAAUAUCCUCAUGGUCAUGUCACUGUAAGUCUGAAAAUUAACUGCAGGAAUUAGGUACUGCCAGCCUUCCUUCUGAGUCUUCAGCAGCCUGGGCCUCACAUCCACUGCAGCUUGGAGUAAGGAUAAUGUGGGGGCUGCCCAGCAGCCAGCCCUGCUCUAAGCUGAUCUGUGGCACAGCUGGAAGGAGAACAAGAAAUACCUAUGCACUGUGCAAGGGCAAAAGCAUUCUACAUGCCUGUGACAAACCAGAGUUUGUUCCACCACCACAUUUAAAGGACAAGACAACCACAGGCCUCUACAUCAAAAUGACAGUCCAAUGGGGUGUCCAGC